Molecule: long non-coding RNA, 1165 nt
Organism: Eriocheir sinensis (Chinese mitten crab)
Lineage: Eukaryota; Metazoa; Arthropoda; Malacostraca; Decapoda; Varunidae
Exons: 3
Source: RefSeq, a predicted model, not a curated record
AAGGAAAAAAAGGAAUAGGGAUUAAGAAUAGGAAUAAGGAUGAAAAAAGUAGGGAUAAAGAAUAGGAAUAAGGAAGAAGAAAUAGGGAUUAAGAAUAGGAAUAAGGAAGGAAGAAAAGAAUAUGGAUUAAGAAUAGGAAUAAGGAAGGAAGGACAUACAUUCCCAAACAAAAGUGAGAAAGAGAUCCACUUCAUUAGUAGCUCAGUUUGUAUCAGGAUUUCUAAGCUUCAAUUGGAGGUAAAGCGAAGUUGAGGGCUUACGCUUUAUAAGGCUGCACAUGGCCCCAGUGCUAAUCUCUGUCACAUCAGGGUUCAGGUUUACACACAGAGGCUCUGGCAGGGUUUAAGCUAACACUAAUUAACAGGGUUCAAGCUUUUUAAAAUAGGCUCAAGCAGGGUUCAGGGUUUCACACAGUAUUUGGCAGGGUUCAAGUGUAGCUUUCAACAGAGUUCAGGCUUUAGUAUAGGCUCCAACAGAGUUCAGGGUCAAGCAUAGACUUUAAUGGGGUUUCAGAUUUGCAGGGUUCAAGAUUUUACAGUCUUUGGCAGGUUUAAUUUUACAUUUUGACAAAGUUCAAGCUUUUUAAGACAAAGACUGGCUCCAGCAGGGUUUAGGCUUUUACAGUCUUUGACAGUGUUCAAGCUUUUUAAUACAGGUUCAAAUAGUGUUCAUAGUCUUUGGCAGGGUUCAAGCGUAGAAUUUAACACACCCAAGCUUUUUAUACAGCUCCAUCUGGGUUCAGGCUUCCAUAUAGUCUAUGUAUGGCAGGGUUCAAGCUAUUUAAUACAGGCUCAAUCAAGGUUCAAGCUAUUUAAUACAGGCUCAAUCAAGGUUCAAGCUAUUUAAUACAGGCUCAAUCAAGGUUCAAGCUAUUUAAUACAGGCUCAAUCAAGGUUCAAGCUAUUUAAUACAGGCUCAAUCAAGGUUCAAGCUAUUUAAUACAGGCUCAAUCAAGGUUCAAGCUAUUUAAUACAGGCUCAAUCAAGGUUCAAGCUAUUUAAUACAGGCUCAAUCAAGGUUCAAGCUAUUUAAUACAGGAUCAAUCAAGGUUCAAUCUAUUUAAUGCAGGCUUCAGCAUAACUCAAACUUCUAGGCCCCGGCAGGGUUCAACGAGACACAGUGCUCCCAAGGGCCUCACCGUGCCCCCAGAUUCGGCCGCCUCGGA